GGCGAACGCUGGCGGCGUGCCUAAUACAUGCAAGUCGAGCGGACCGGAUUGGGGCUUGCCUUGAUUCGGUCAGCGGCGGACGGGUGAGUAACACGUGGGCAACCUGCCCGCAAGACCGGGAUAACUCCGGGAAACCGGAGCUAAUACCGGAUAACACCGAAGACCGCAUGGUCUUCGGUUGAAAGGCGGCCUUUGGGCUGUCACUUGCGGAUGGGCCCGCGGCGCAUUAGCUAGUUGGUGAGGUAACGGCUCACCAAGGCGACGAUGCGUAGCCGGCCUGAGAGGGUGAACGGCCACACUGGGACGGAGACACGGCCCAGAAUCCUACGGGAGGCAGCAGUAGGGAAUCUUCCGCAAUGGGCGAAAGCCUGACGGAGCGACGCCGCGUGAGCGAAGAAGGCCUUCGGGUCGUAAAGCUCUGUUGUGAGGGACGAAGGAGCGUCGUUCGAAGAGGGCGGCGCGGUGACGGUACCUCACGAGAAAGCCCCGGCUAACUACGUG
Molecule: ribosomal RNA, 501 nt
Filed under: uncultured bacterium
Lineage: Bacteria
Description: partial 16S ribosomal RNA
Rfam family: Bacterial small subunit ribosomal RNA
Source: RNAcentral